CGCCCUGCAGACCUGCCACCGCUGCCUCGGGGUUCCCCUGGGAAAGGCACCCAGGGAGGGCCGGGCAGGGAAGCAGGAGCCCACUUGGCUCCUGCCAGAGAGUGAACAGAAGCAAAACGUGCCUUUGGUUAAUUUUUCUUCUAAUAGAAGUAAUUCAGAGUCAAAUGAAAUACCAUUUAAAUUUUCCAUGAAAAUAAUCACCCUGCUAUUUCACAUGAUUUUCCCAGGCUUUGUUGUAUGACUUGGAAACCAGGCUUGUUAUGAAGGAGGCAGAGUUGGGGUGUACAGCGAACAGGCAUUUCUCCCAAGCUCACGGGCACAUUUUUUCAAACUGUGUUUUUUAAUUGGCCUCUUCAUGUAUAAAUGAACAGUGUAACGGACAAGCAGGGCACCUUAAUCCCAACGCCACAGUCGGCCAGUUUGCGGGUUCAGGCCUCCUUUAUGAUACAUGCCACAAACACAAUAUCUUUGUAUUAAAAGGAUUUUUUUUUUUUGCUGAAA
This 501-nucleotide long non-coding RNA is filed under the name Homo sapiens (human). RNAcentral describes it as "non-protein coding lnc-PEX10-3:1". The record is from RNAcentral. Lineage: Eukaryota; Metazoa; Chordata; Mammalia; Primates; Hominidae.